AGGCUCCGCCCCCAGCCCUGCCCAGGAGAGGGAAGGGGACGCCCGCACUUCCCCGGCCCCCUCACAAGAGAGCACCCAAGCGGGGAAGGAGGACUGAGGUCCUCAUCUCCUCAGCAUCUCGACUCAGCCUCUGCCAGUGCAGGAGUGUGACAUGCGAGGGCUGGGGAGUCCUCCGGAAGGUAGACCCCCUGCCUGCAGACAGGACAGCCCCUCUCCAGAGUCGCUGACCCCAUCAGAGCUCCUCCUGCCAGUAUGGGGCCUGCAUCCUCCUUCCCCCAGCCUCAGCAACAACCCCCACACCCCUACGUUGUCCCCGCUUCACAGAUAAGGAAACGGAGGCUCAGCGGGGUUAAACCAUUCUUCCGACAUCUCACUGCUAACGUGGAGACUGAGGCUUCAGAGAAGUGAAGUCACCUGCCCAGGGUAAUAUAGCAAGAAAGUGACAGUGCCAGAAUUUGAACCCAGUUCCGUGUGACUCGGGAGCCCAGGCCCUUCCCUGGGAGCCCCUCAGGGAGGUAAAGGUAUAUGAUCUCUCUGCCAAGCCCAGAAUCCAGGACCCCAAGGGAGAGAGAAAGGGGCCGCAUCUUUGCCCGUCCCUCAGUGUGAGCUUACAGCCUUCACACGGCAAUGGACCCAGGGUAAGAUCCAGGGGUGACCCCUUUCCAGCUUUGGGGAAGUUGGCACAAACAACCCCUCUGACCCUCUGGCUCCUUCUCAAUAAAGCCCACGUUUCCAGCUGCUUCCUGGACUGUCUCCCAGAAGCCCACGACACCUGGGACUCAAGCUGGCCAAUUUCCACUCAUCACCUUCCACCCCAGCCUGCCCUGUGUCUGGGUUCCCCUCCAUCCACCAAACAAGCCUGAAGCCCCACCCCAUCCGGGACCUCUCCCUCCUCCACACCCUCACACCUGCUUCCUACCCAAGUCAGCCUUCUGCCAGAGGAUGUCUCUCAGGCCUGGCUCCUCCUCUCCCCCCACAUCCCCUGCCCCACUCCCUCCUCAGACAGCCCUGUGUUAUUGCUCCAGACCUCUUACAGCUCUCCCCUCCUUCCCUUUCUCUAAAUCUAAUCUCCCUCCUCCCUGCUUAAUAACCUUCCAUGGCUCCCCACUGCCUACCACAGGAAGUGGACAUUCAAGGCUCGCACGCCACGCCCCAACCCUCAGCCCCCGACUUCACCUCUUACCGUCCACCUUCCUUCAAUAACUCCCACGAGUCCAGCACCUCUCCUAGGUGGCUGGGUUCUCCCCUGUACCGAGAGAGGGGAUCUGGCAUCCAGGCUGGGGAAAAAGGGCUCCCUGACCCCCAUAUCCUUGCAUAUGGGUUUCCCCCUAGGUGGGGGCGGGGUGCAGUGACGCAGGCAGCGCGGGUCACGUGUCAGCCAACCCUUGGCUGCACAAUAAUCCUCUUCCCUCCGCUGGUGAAAGUUAGCUGGAAGGGACAGUGACUUGCCUGAGGCCACCCAGUCAGGCCCAGCCUGUUGCCCCCUCCUCAAAUCAGAAGUGACCCUUUCUGUGACAGCUUUUCUGACAGAUAAGCAUUCGGAUUUUUCUUACACAUUUCCAUCGCUGAGGAGCUCGCUCCUGCCCCUCCUGCUGUCUCUGACCUGUCAAAAAUUGUUCCUAGGUUUGUAGAAAAUGGAGUGGUCCCUCUUAGAGGGCAGGAGGCCGAGUGUUCAUUGUAACUUUAUAUGCAGUUCUGUCUGGAUGAAUUACAACCUGCAUGCAGGACAGUUGAGACUUGAGUCAAAAUUGAGAGAGUCAAGAUUUUAAAAAGAAAGUUCUUCCUAAAUUGGGAUCUGCCUUCCUGAGGCCCAGCCCUGCCCUGGGAGGUUUUCUGCAGGCUGAAGGCGGCACCCAGCGCCCGAAGCCCCAGGGUGACUCUCCUCCCAGCCUGCUCCUCCCAACCCAGAAAAGCGGUUGGAAUCCCCAGCCACCUUGUGAUGUGGCACUGUAGGCUGAGGGAUUGCACAUAUGGUGCAGGGCUGGGCCCGGGGGAGAUGAGGGCAGCAGACCUGGCCCCACCACCAGCCAGCUGUGUCCUUCUGGAGCCUCAGUUCCUCUUCUGGGAAAGGCUUCCAUCCUGAGGAGCCCACAGGACACUGUGGAGGGUAGUGCACAUGAGGAGGCUGCUCGGUGACACUGCAGGGCUCAGGGGCAUACACGCAUACAGUCUUGAGGGCAGGUGCUUCUGGGAGAGGACAGGUAACACCCCAGCUCAAGGCUUCUGCUGGCACCUGCGAUUGUGCCCAUUUUCCAGAAGAGGAAACUGAGGCCCAAAGAGCUCAAGUUCCCUGCCUGAGACCGUGCACAGGGUUAGAGCUAGAUCCAAGAUGGGGCCCACCUCUAUUUCCUGAGCUCUUUCCAGUGGACCAGGAUGCCCUGGAGAAGUGAGGGCUUCCCAGAGAGCUCAGAGGGACCUGGAGUCCCAGACCCAACCCCUGGAGGCUGCAGUUGCCAGAUCCCAGUGGCCUCAUGCUCCUGAUCUGUCUCCCUUGCUGGGAAGACUGGGUCAGCUCCCAUUUCUGGCACUUUAGGCUCUCCCUGAGGCUGGGGACUGCCUCUUCGUUCCCAUAGUAACAGUGAACAGAGGGGCCUCCGCAUCAGUGCAGGGAUAACGCCCGGGUACCCGUGAGGAAUCCCUGCCACGGGCAGCCUUAGGUACAUGCAAGCAUGCAUGCUCGUGUGCACCAUUGCACAUGCAUACACACCCAAUGCAUGUGUAUUUGCACACUCACGCCCCUUUGUGAACACACACGCACACCCUUGCACACCCAGGCACAUGCACAAUGUCCCCAAUAACCACCUGACGUGGCCCACUCCCACAGCCACCCUGGCUACUCAGGAACAGGGAUGGUGGGGAAAUGAGGGAUUUCUGCUUUGUAAUAAAACUCACUGCUACGUUUAUAGAUUCUUACCACGUGCCCAGGAUUGCGUCGUCCUUUUCACGUUAACAUCUCCUGUACUCUCCACAACACUACUCUAAGAUAGGUGCCCAGUGAGGAAACAGGCUCAGAGAGGUGGAGUGACUUGCCUGAGGUCACCCAGUAGGCAUGGCCAAGCCAAGAUUUGAGCCCAAGACUGUUUAGUUCCUUCCCUCCCUGCCAGUCCCUUGGUGCCAGACCCAUGAGGACUCACCCUGAGACCCACAAACACAGAUGGGGAGGCCUGGCAGCAGGGGGGCAGCAGAGCUGAGGCCUCCCAACCAGAACGCCAGGGAUCCCGGACUUGGGGCUCAGGGUCAACAGAUGCCUCUCCGGCCCCCAGCCACUCUUGAGACCGAGGCAUGAAGGGGGCUCCAGAGGAUGACAGGGUCUUCCCUUGCAUUUAUCUCUUCCUAGUCAGCAGAAAAGGAACUUUGAACAGCAA
Equus caballus (horse) is the source of this 3365-nucleotide non-coding RNA. The record is from RefSeq and is a predicted model, not a curated record. NCBI's taxonomy places the organism in Eukaryota, Metazoa, Chordata, Mammalia, Perissodactyla, Equidae.